RNAcentral lists this long non-coding RNA (217 nucleotides) under Ananas comosus (pineapple). RNAcentral's name for it is "long non-coding RNA (ACOM_LNC040941)". The record is from RNAcentral. Lineage: Eukaryota; Viridiplantae; Streptophyta; Magnoliopsida; Poales; Bromeliaceae.
ACCAUCCUCGCACUUUGGUCAAUUUGACUAAAGUUCGAUCUUUAUUUUCCGAAUUUUUCGGUAUAUUACAGCAGCACUCACCUUCGCUAAUUACCAAUAGCUAGGAUUUCCAAGCAAUUUGAUUUCCGACGCCGAUUCAUCUCGACCCAAGCCUAACAAACCAAAUUCUGCAAAUCUCUCAAUCAGACGUCGUAACCUUGUCGUAAUCCAAAACAAA